CAAAAGUGGCUUCCCUUGGUCUGUGCCU
RNAcentral lists this non-coding RNA (28 nucleotides) under Mus musculus (house mouse). The record is from RNAcentral. Lineage: Eukaryota; Metazoa; Chordata; Mammalia; Rodentia; Muridae.